UCUAACCUACGGGGGGCAGCAGUGAGGAAUAUUGGUCAAUGGGCGGAAGCCUGAACCAGCCAAGUCGCGUGAGGGAUUAAGGCCCUAUGGGUCGUAAACCUCUUUUGUCAGGGAGCAAGGUCGUCCACGUGUGGGCGUAUGGAGAGUACCUGAAGAAAAAGCAUCGGCUAACUCCGUGCCAGCAGCCGUGGUAAUACGGAGGAUGCGAGCGUUAUCCGGAUUUAUUGGGUUUAAAGGGUGCGCAGGCGGUCUGUUAAGUCAGCGGUCAAAGCCCGGGGCUCAACCCCGGCCCGCCGUUGAAACUG
This 305-nucleotide ribosomal RNA is filed under the name uncultured bacterium. Its description in RNAcentral is "bacterial SSU rRNA". It matches the Rfam family "Bacterial small subunit ribosomal RNA", at positions 331 to 635 of the family's 1533-position model. The record is from RNAcentral.